Blyttiomyces helicus is the source of this 75-nucleotide non-coding RNA. NCBI's taxonomy places the organism in Eukaryota, Fungi, Chytridiomycota, Chytridiomycetes. The record is from the annotation of a GenBank genome assembly.
GGUUCCGUGGUGUAGUUGGUUUAUCACAACAGUCUAACACACUGUAGGUCUCCGGUUUGGUCCCGGACGGAACCA